This 46-nucleotide ribosomal RNA is filed under the name Cladophialophora arxii. RNAcentral's name for it is "partial 28S rRNA". The record is from RNAcentral. Lineage: Eukaryota; Fungi; Ascomycota; Eurotiomycetes; Chaetothyriales; Herpotrichiellaceae.
UUGACCUCGGAUCAAGUAGAAUACGCGCAUAUCAAUAAGCGGAGGA